CAAACAUUCUGAAGUUUCUGCUAAGACAAUAAGGCAGGGUGAUUUGGUGUCUCUGACCAUGCCAGGGGAGAUGUUUGGAGUUGAUGGUGGUUAAUGGCUGUUGAUGGUUGUGAUCAAAAUGCUUCCUUCGAGCUGUUUGACCACUGCCAAGGGCCUCUAGUUUAUUUCUCUCCAUUGUAGUGGCUUCUCUUAGCUCGCUGAAUAGCAGCCUGAUUCCUGGCAGCUACUUUAAAUCUGCACGACCAGAAAAGUUGGGAGGAUAAGAGGGAGUGAAGAGCCCCAUAUGCUCUUUCAGAGAAAGAGCUACUACAUCUUUUGCUAACACCAUAAAUAAAUGCAUCAACUUCCAGUUCUUAUACACAUGGUAUCUGCAAUAUAAUGGAGCCAUUCCUGCAUUACACUGCUGCUGCCCAACUCCUGGCAUGCAGAUUGAUCUAUUCCUCAGGUGAUUCAUCAUGUUAUAAAGUUUGUUUGUUCUCUGGUCCAUGAGCAACACACUGUAAUAAAAUCUGGCUAUAGUUGUCAAAGAA
Molecule: long non-coding RNA, 530 nt
Organism: Taeniopygia guttata (zebra finch)
Lineage: Eukaryota; Metazoa; Chordata; Aves; Passeriformes; Estrildidae
Source: RefSeq, a predicted model, not a curated record